UACGAAGGGGGCUAGCGUUGCUCGGAAUCACUGGGCGUAAAGGGUGCGUAGGCGGGUGUUUAAGUCAGGGGUGAAAUCCUGGAGCUCAACUCCAGAACUGCCUUUGAUACUGAAGAUCUUGAGUUCGGGAGAGGUGAGUGGAACUGCGAGUGUAGAGGUGAAAUUCGUAGAUAUUCGCAAGAACACCAGUGGCGAAGGCGGCUCGCUGGCCCGAUACUGACGCUGAGGCACGAAAGCGUGGGGAGCAAACAGG
Molecule: ribosomal RNA, 253 nt
Filed under: uncultured bacterium
Lineage: Bacteria
Description: partial 16S ribosomal RNA
Rfam family: Bacterial small subunit ribosomal RNA
Source: RNAcentral